Molecule: ribosomal RNA, 478 nt
Filed under: uncultured bacterium
Lineage: Bacteria
Description: partial 16S ribosomal RNA
Rfam family: Bacterial small subunit ribosomal RNA
Source: RNAcentral
GAUGAACGCUGGCGGCGUGCUUAACACAUGCAAGUCGAACGAGAAAUGUAGACGGAAACCUUCGGGCGGAAGCCUUCAUUUCGAGUGGCGGACGGGUGAGUAACGCGUGGGUAACCUGCCUCAUACAGGGGGAUAACAGUUGGAAACGACUGUUAAUACCGCAUAAGACCACAGCAUCGCAUGAUGCGGGGGUAAAAACUCCGGUGGUAUGAGAUGGACCCGCGUUCGAUUAGCCAGUUGGCGGGGUAACGGCCCACCAAAGCGACGAUCGAUAGCCGAUCUGAGAGGAUGACCGGCCACAUUGGGACUGAGACACGGCCCAAACUCCUACGGGAGGCAGCAGUGGGGAAUAUUGCAUAAUGGGGGAAACCCUGAUGCAGCGACGCCGCGUGAGUGAAGAAGUACUUCGGUAUGUAAAGCUCUAUCAGCAGGGAAGAAAAUGACGGUACCUGAGUAAGAAGCCCCGGCUAACUACGUG